GGAAUACGUGGAAGAAUGGCCGGGAGACAAGCAAUCAGUUCUGAAACCGUGUGGAUUGGACAUGGACUGCCAGUAUGGAUUCGGCUGCACGAAGAAGGGAUGCACACCUCUACCUCAAAUGAUAAUGU
Molecule: long non-coding RNA, 128 nt
Organism: Rhipicephalus microplus (southern cattle tick)
Lineage: Eukaryota; Metazoa; Arthropoda; Arachnida; Ixodida; Ixodidae
Source: RefSeq, a predicted model, not a curated record